AUCUCUGUGCAGUGGCAGUAUCAUAACUCAUGAGGCUUAUCUGAGGAAUGAUUAUUGCUAAUUGAAAACUUUACCCAAUACCUUGCCUUGAUGACUUGAAAUAGAGUCAGCUAUGGCAGUUUUUGAUAGUGUCCGUUGAGA
Nerophis ophidion (straightnose pipefish) is the source of this 141-nucleotide small nuclear RNA. RefSeq annotates it as U4 spliceosomal RNA. Lineage: Eukaryota; Metazoa; Chordata; Actinopteri; Syngnathiformes; Syngnathidae. The transcript has a single exon. The record is from RefSeq and is a predicted model, not a curated record.